AGAGUGCGUAAUAGCUCACUAGUCGAGAGGUCCUGCGCCGAAAAUGUCCGGGGCUAAAACACAACACCGAAGCUUAGGAAUUCUAAUGAAUUGGUAGAGGAGCAUUGAAGACGGAACGAAGCCAUACCGAAAGGAAUGGUGGACUGUCUUGAAGAGAGAAUGCCGGAAUGAGUAGCGAGAUUGAAGUGAGAAUCUUCAAGGCCGAAUAUCUAAGGUUUCCAGGGUAAAGCUGAUCUGCCCUGGGUAAGUCGGGGCCUAAGGCAAGGUCGAAAGACGUAGUCGAUGGAUAACAGGUUGAAAUUCCUGUACUGCAUCAAAUCAGAAAUGUGGGGACACAUGAGGGAAGCAUGAGCCGGAAAAGGAAAGUCCGGUACAAGCGCAGCAGAGGACAGAUAGGCAAAACCGUCUGUCAACUCGAGGGCGUGAUGUGGAGCGAACCAAAGUAGCGAAGCAUGUGGAGCUUGUGUCGAGAAAAGCCGCUAUUGUGUUUGAUGUACCCGUACCGUAAACCGACACAGGUGGAUGAGGAGAGAAUCCUAAGGCCGGCGGGAGAAGCAUUGUUAAGGAACUCGGCAAAAUGACCCCGUAACUUCGGGAGAAGGGGUGCUCCAGAGAUGGAGCCGCAGAGAACUGGCCCAAGCAACUGUUUAGCAAAAACACAGGUCUAUGCAAAACCGAAAGGUGAGGUAUAUGGGCUGACGCCUGCCCGGUGCUGGAAGGUUAAGAGGAGAUGUUAGCCGCAAGGUGAAGCAUUGAAUUUAAGCCCCAGUAAACGGCGGCCGUAACUAUAACGGUCCUAAGGUAGCGAAAUUCCUUGUCGGGUAAGUUCCGACCCGCACGAAAGGCGUAAUGAUUUGGGCACUGUCUCGACAAUGCACCCGGUGAAAUUGAAAUACCAGUGAAGAUGCUGGUUACCUGCGCCAGGACGGAAAGACCCCAUGGAGCUUUACUCUAGCUUGAUACUGGGGUUCGGUAUUGCAUGUACAGGAUAGGUGGGAGACGAAGAGGCAGUGACGCCAGUUGCUGCGGAGUCGAUGUUGGGAUACCACCCCUGCAGUACUGGGCUUCUAACCUGCAGCCGUGACCCGGCUGGGGGACAAUGUCUGGUGGGGAGUUUGACUGGGGCGGUCGCCUCCGAAAGAGUAUCGGAGGCGCUCAAAGGUUCCCUCAGAAUGGUUGGAAACCAUUCGAAGAGCGCAAAGGCAGAAGGGAGCUUGACUGCGACACCGACGGGUGGAGCAGGUACGAAAG
This 1251-nucleotide ribosomal RNA is filed under the name human gut metagenome. RNAcentral describes it as "bacterial LSU rRNA". It matches the Rfam family "Bacterial large subunit ribosomal RNA", at positions 1127 to 2405 of the family's 2925-position model. The record is from RNAcentral.